RNA transcript from Pieris brassicae (large cabbage white), 4771 nucleotides. It is a transcript of the gene named synaptosomal-associated protein 25-like, with no coding region annotated. The transcript is spliced from 9 exons. The record is from RefSeq and is a predicted model, not a curated record. Lineage: Eukaryota; Metazoa; Arthropoda; Insecta; Lepidoptera; Pieridae.
CAAAGUAAAAGUUAUCACUGAAUCAUAUUUGUGACUUUAAUUAAACAUUAUAUGUCUAUAUAACAAAAAACCUAUGGAACCUUUAAUUCCCAGGAUGCCUGCAGCCACACCACCAGCCGAAAAUGGCGCGCCGCGCAGCGAGUUGGAACAACUCCAAUUACGAGCCGGCGAGGUUACUGAUGAGUCACUGGAAUCAACUCGGCGUAUGAUGCAACUAUGCGAGGAGAGCAAGGAGGCCGGCAUACGAACUCUGGUCGCUCUAGAUGACCAGGGAGAGCAAUUGGAUAGAAUUGAGGAGGGGAUGGACCAGAUAAACGCAGACAUGCGUGAGGCCGAGAAAAAUCUGUCUGGAAUGGAGAAAUGCUGUGGUAUCUGCGUUUUGCCUUGUAACAAGGGAGCAUCGUUCAAGGAAGAUGACGGUACAUGGAAGGGCAACGAUGACGGUAAGGUAGUCAACAACCAGCCUCAACGGGUGAUGGACGAGCGCAAUGGAAUCGGACCGCAAGCUGGAUACAUUGGCAGGAUAACAAACGACGCUCGCGAAGAUGAGAUGGAAGAGAACAUGGGUCAAGUGAACACUAUGAUCGGUAACUUGCGUAACAUGGCCAUUGACAUGGGCUCUGAACUUGAGAACCAGAACAGGCAGAUCGACCGUAUCAACCGCAAGGGUGAAUCGAAUGAGACAAGAAUAAAGGUCGCCAACCAGCGCGCACACGAGCUCCUCAAGUAAACGGCGGCGGCAACACACAAACACACACACGUCUCGUGGUCAAGUCGAUUGCAAACACUUACACAAAAAAGGACUUUAUUUUUUGUAUUGUUUUAAUUAUGUCAAUUUAUAGGUUAUAUUUUUGAGUCUUUCAAAAAUUGUUUGAAUUGUUUGCAACCGACUUAAAGAACCAGUAUUUUGCUUAGUGACAUUAACCAAGUAAUCUUUUAUCUGUAAUAAUAUGUAGACAUUUAAAGUUGUAUAGAAUAAUGUUAUUUAUUAAAGGAGGCAAGGAUCAAGACUUUUGCUUGAAGGAAUUAUUGUUAAAUGCAUAAAAUCGAAUGCAAUAAAAUUGCUAAACUCCCUUUCUAUAUUAAAAUUAUUUACCUGUUAAACGCUCCGAUUAUUUGUUGAUACCCAUUUUUUUUAUAAAUCUAUAUGAAAAUGUUACUAUGACCAGUGUUAAAAAAAACUUUUCUCUAAUAAUAUAGGAUUUUGUAGUCAACUAUAAGAAUAUCGUAAGGAUUGGCUAUUGUGAUAAUAUGAGGAUAAGGUGGAGUUAGGUUAAUAUAUUUCAUAGGAGCAUUUAUGUUCUAUGCAAAAUAUCCACCCGCAAUACCCAAAAACGUACUACAUAUCUCAACACACCUGCUUCUAUGGAAUAUUUCUUAGAAAAUGCUUUGUAUGAAACAGCCUUUGAUUGAAAUAAACUUUUCUUAGUUUUGUAUUCGAGAUUACAUUUAGAUAGGAUUUUGUUUAUGUACGAAACCUGAAGUGUUUUUUAGAAAAAAUUGGAAAGAAAUACUGGCACAAGACAGAGGCAGAACAACCAGCCUAGAAGAUUAGAUGGAUCCAAAUGUGUUGUCAAUAUAUAUAAAGUGCCAAAGAUUUAUUUGGAAAUAGAUUGCUCUCCAUGCAUAGAAAAUCUUGGAAUAUACGUACUUAAUGCAGGUGUUAUAAGAAGGAUUUGCAUACGCAGCAAAAGCGUAUACAUACGCGUAUACUAAUUUCAUAAAUACUCCUUUUAAAACGUCUACAUUUCGGGUUUCAACAAAUAUACUUUAAGUAAUCAACGCUAGGAUAGUUGUUAUAUGCUUCAUAAUAAAUUAAUUAUCUAGUUGAUAAAUUUUUAUUCCUAUACGAUUUAGGCACUUAAAUACCUCGUAAAAUGUUUCAUCGCUAUGUAUAUAGUCUAGUAGUUUUCUCACCACGAGACAGACACACAUACACUAACACAUUUACGGACAACGAUACUGGUGAGAGUAACGAGACCCGUAUAGCAGUCGCCAACCAGCGAGCGAAUAAGCUACUUAAAUCUUAAACAGAUUACAACAACGGUUAGCAGAAUGACGUUAAUCAUUUCACAGAUCUUCGAUUAUUUCCGGUAUUACUUCCGGUUUCUGUUUCAGAAUUUAUCGAUUUAACUUUGCUGUGUCGUUUUGCUUCUAGAUAUAUUUUAUUCUUCCAUUUCUUAAUAUAGAUGAUAUUUUUCUUGGACCAAGUUUUUCAGUACAAAUAGUCUCACAUAUCAGCUAUAGCGUCAUUUUGUGAACCAUGAUACAAUAAAAGUUGGAACGUGGAUACAAUAAAUAAAAGAAUUGAUAUAAUGUAUAGAGAUGUUAUAACUAUAGAUAUAACUCAGUUUCUGGCCGACUCCGACACGACAAACGCAUUUAAGGCACCCUGGGGCUUGAGACGACGUUACUUUUCGACAGGUGUGACCCCUUAACGAAAAUUUGUAUAAAUGAGGUCACGUGACUAAGCGUAAGCUUAUGUCAUUCCCAUACAAGCGUUAGUGGGCCACAUCUAUCGGAUAGUGAUGUUGUCGCAAGCCCCUAUUCCAUAAAGAAAAGUAAAUCUAAAUUCUAAUAAGAUUUCUAGAAAAGAUGCACUAUAACUUUGUCAUAUGCUUGUAACGUAACCCUUCAAGUUGUGUAGCUUUGUCCUCCGAUUUUGUACCUUAAACAAGUCCAGUUUUGUAGUUCUAUAAUGCACAAAAUUUCUUUAAUGUGCCAAAAGUAUUUGAUUAUUUCGCGCGAUAAAUUCCUUUAAAAAAUUUAUAAGCUAGUCUCAUUUGCGCUGCUAGGAUUUUAUAAAAUUUGAGCGUCAAAUGUAAUGGCCGAUGUGAAUCAAAAAUCAUUAAAAAUUAUACUUUAUAGAUCAGUUCGAAAUUCGAAUAAUAAUAAAUGACAAAUUGUUCGAAAUUUAAAAUAACACAUUCGGUAUUAAACGCAGCAACUUCAUAACGUUAGAUACUUCACAAGGUCAUAGGUUUUUGUGCUUGUCCAUUCUAUUAUAUAAUCUUAUUUAUGAUUUAAAAAUCGAAAAUUUAUAAUAAUUGAUUAUAAGCUUUUCUGUAAUUAGUAAUUCGUUUUAGGUUAAGUGAUUUGUGCCUGAAUAAUAUUAAUUUUAGUUUACUAUCGUUUCUAUUUUCGCUAACAUAUAUUCCAACAUUUCAAUUGUUAUUGUGGUCUACAAAGAGUUUUAUACAAAAGGUCUUAUUAAUAAUGUACAAUGUCAAAUUGUUGGAAAUAAAAAAAACACAAAUAUAAUGUUGCUUUUUCGAUACGAAUAUAAAGGUUCAGUAGUUUCUAACUCUUCUCACUUUUCCUAUUAAAUUUAGCUUAAUAGUAUUUUUAGUUAAUCAUAACUACUGAACGUGACGUUUAUAAAAUAACUAAGCGUUUCUUGUAGCCUACAGGCUCCAUACAAGCCUACGGGAUAGCUAUAAAAGAAGGUCACUACACGCCAUGAACACUUUUAGUCUAUGUGUUGCCGGCCUUUAAGUGAGGAGGGCAGCUUUAUUUAAUAUCUAUCAACUUCAUAAUCGGUAUGUAGAGUGAGUUUCCAUUAACUCAUAUAAAUAAUAUUUACAUAUAAAAAAUAUAUGCUGACCGUUUACUACAGGGCUUCUAUCCUAUUAUAGGCAUUAUAUAUUCUAUUAUAGGCACCAGCCUUUCACAUAUCAUUAAAAAACUAACUAUUAUUUUGACUGGUUAAGUGAAAUAAAUUAUUAUACAACCUCUAACUUUUUAAAAUGUAUAAACCUCUUUGGUAGAUCACAAAUAGAUUAAUUAUCAAUGCAAUAGUCUAUUUGAUAGUUGAGCAUUUAAAAACGUUAUUACUUAAAGUAUAUAGAUACGUGUAAGUGACGAGUACCGGCCUUAGAGUAAAGUAUAUAGGACGUUACGGCUUGGUGUUGUUUAUGGAUGAGGCGGUUUUUAAACGGUAUCUUGUUUCAUAGGUAUAUAUUUAUAGGUUAUGGUUAAGCUGUGAUUAAAUGUAGUGUCCAAAUUUGACAGUGACUCUGAUAAAUACUGUAGUAACUGACGUGACAGAUGACAAGUCAUUGUCACUGUCAAAUGAAUACAAUCUGUCUUUAUCAAAUUAUCUGGCACUGUCAAAUGUGACUGAUUCAAAUAUUAUUAGUCCUAUAGAUUUUUUCAAAGAAUUUCCUUCUGUAGAUCACAUCAGUAGUCAUAUCAUAUGACUAUGAACCGUAUACAAACAUUUAGUCCCGCAAGAAAACUCUUUAUUUAAUUCGAUUACUGAGCAAAUUAAUAUAAUGUGUAUCUGUAUAUUACAUAUGCUUUUGGACAGAUGUAAAACUACGAAGCAAGAUCCGAAUACCGCCUUAGUCUAUGGGGAUUUAACUACAAAACUUAUCAAUCGCUCAUGCAUGUAGUUAAACCCCAAUAUUUAAGAUACAUUUUUCGAAGUUUCUCUGUCUCUUUCGAUUAGUUAAGGGUUGAUCUUAUUCAAUAUUAAAAAUAUCCUAGACAUGUUUAAGUAAUCAAUAGAUGUGUAUAUUUACCGUGCGCAAAUAUAUUCGUUUAUAAUCAGCCUAAUUAUAUCUACUGUACACAUAGAUAAAUUAUUUUUCAUUAUGAAAUAGAAUAUAUCGUUAGUGUAAACUGUUAAUUUCUAAUUAUAUUAUUGAUUUGUUAAAAUUAACUUUAUUUCGUUGUAUUUUUUAAUCCUUGUAACACUUCCGUUUUUAUGGCAAUACCAGUUUCGGGUUAGUCGGUCGAAGACUAUGCCAUAGAUAAGAUAUUGAGGAAA